GAGUGUGAGGGAGAUCUGGUUGUGAAAUCUGUCAGCCCAUUGAUCUCUAGGGUUGACUCGGCUGAUCUGGCUUCUUAGGUGAGCAUUCCCUUCCUCCCUCACUGCUCCAUGUGUAUUCCCAUCCCCAUCUCAAAGGGGUUCACUCGGUUGAAGAGGAUGAACAUCUCCACUACAGGAGGACCGUUCUUCAGUAUAGGGUUUAUGAGCCACACGCAUCCCUGCUAGAACUUCCCAACAAGCCCUCUCAAGAUAUCUGACUGCUCCAGACCACCACGCUGGAGAAGUCAUGGGAAGGGCUCAGGUUGACUGUUCCAGCUGAGCCCAGCCUUCUC
Molecule: small nuclear RNA, 332 nt
Filed under: Carlito syrichta (Philippine tarsier)
Lineage: Eukaryota; Metazoa; Chordata; Mammalia; Primates; Tarsiidae
Description: 7SK RNA (ENSTSYG00000023681.2)
Rfam family: 7SK RNA
About the family: 7SK was discovered as an abundant small nuclear RNA in the mid-70s but a possible function has only recently been suggested. Two independent studies have found that 7SK RNA binds the CDK9/cyclin T complex (known as elongation factor P-TEFb).
Source: Rfam by way of RNAcentral